Molecule: unclassified non-coding RNA, 261 nt
Filed under: Archaeorhizomyces sp.
Lineage: Eukaryota; Fungi; Ascomycota; Archaeorhizomycetes; Archaeorhizomycetales; Archaeorhizomycetaceae
Description: partial contains 5.8S ribosomal RNA, internal transcribed spacer 2, and large subunit ribosomal RNA
Rfam family: 5.8S ribosomal RNA (bases 1-67)
Source: RNAcentral
GUGAGUCAUCGAAUCUUUGAACGCACAUUGCGCCUCCCUCACGGGAGGCAUGCCUGUCUGAGCGUCGUUUGAACCCAUGGAGCCCUCCCGGGGGCCUCCGCGUUGGGCCUCGCGCGUGGGCGCGUCGCCUCGAACGGAUCGGUCGAGAGGGCGGACGAGAUCCACUAGGACCCGAGCCGCGCAGAAGACCAUAAAACUCAGAGUCGACCUCAGAUCAGGUAGGGACACCGCCUGAACUUAAGCAUAUCAAUAAGCGGAGGA